AACGAACGCUGGCGGCAUGCCUAACACAUGCAAGUCGAACGAGACCUUCGGGUCUAGUGGCGCACGGGUGCGUAACGCGUGGGAACCUGCCCUUAGGUUCGGAAUAACUCCCCGAAAGGGGUGCUCAUACCGGAUAAUGUCUUCGGACCAAAGAUUUAUCGCCUUUGGAUGGGCCCGCGUUGGAUUAGCUAGUUGGUAGGGUAAAAGCCUAUCAAGGCGACGAUCCAUAGCUGGUCUGAGAGGAGGAUCAGCCACACUGGGACUGAGACACGGCCCAGACUGCUACGGGAGGCAGCAGAGGGGAAUAUUGGACAAUGGGCGAAAGCCUGAUCAAGCAAUGCCGCGGGAGUGAUGAAGGCCUUAGGGUUGUAAAGCUCUUUUACCCGGGAUGAUAAUGACAGUACCGGGAGAAUAAGCACCGGCUAACUCCGUG
This 433-nucleotide ribosomal RNA is filed under the name uncultured bacterium. RNAcentral's name for it is "partial 16S ribosomal RNA". It matches the Rfam family "Bacterial small subunit ribosomal RNA", at positions 29 to 507 of the family's 1533-position model. The record is from RNAcentral.